AGUGAACGCUGGCGGUAGGCCUAACACAUGCAAGUCGAACGGCAGCACAGUAAGAGCUUGCUCUUACGGGUGGCGAGUGGCGGACGGGUGAGGAAUACAUCGGAAUCUACUUUUUCGUGGGGGAUAACGUAGGAAAACUUAUGCUAAUACCGCAUACGACCUACGGGUGAAAGCAGGGGAUCUUCGGACCUUGCGCGAUUGAAUGAGCCGAUGUCGGAUUAGCUAGUUGGCGGGGUAAAGGCCCACCAAGGCGACGAUCCGUAGCUGGUCUGAGAGGAUGAUCAGCCACACUGGAACUGAGACACGGUCCAGACUCCUACGGGAGGCAGCAGUGGGGAAUAUUGGGCAAUGGGCGCAAGCCUGAUCCAGCCAUACCGCGUGGGUGAAGAAGGCCUUCGGGUUGUAAAGCCCUUUUGUUGGGAAAGAAAAGUAGCAGGUUAAUACCCCGCUGUUCUGACGGUACCCAAAGAAUAAGCACCGGCUAACUUCGUG
RNAcentral lists this ribosomal RNA (492 nucleotides) under uncultured bacterium. RNAcentral describes it as "partial 16S ribosomal RNA". It matches the Rfam family "Bacterial small subunit ribosomal RNA", at positions 29 to 507 of the family's 1533-position model. The record is from RNAcentral.